GACGGGGCCGCACAAGCAGCGGAGCGUGUGGUUAAUUCGAUGCUACACGAAGAACCUUACCCGGGUUUGACAUGCAAGUGGUAGUGAUCCGAAAGGUGAACGACCCGCAAGGGAGCUUGCACAGGUGUUGCAUGGCUGUCGUCAGCUCGUGUCGUGGGAUGUUCGGUUAAGUCCGCUAACGAGCGCAACCCUCGCUGUAUGUUACAUGUGUCAUACAGGACCGCCGGUAUCAAGCCGGAGGAAGGUGGGGAUGACGUCAAGUCCGCAUGGCCUUUAUGUCCGGGGCUACACACACGCUACAAUGGUCGGUACAAUGGGUUGCUAAGCCGCGAGGUGGAGCCAAUCCCCCAAAGCCGGCCUCAGUUCAGAUUGCAGGCUGCAACUCGCCUGCAUGAAGCUGGAGUUGCUAGUAAACGCGCGUCAGCUAUAGUGCGUUGAAUACGUUCUCGGGCCUU
This 455-nucleotide ribosomal RNA is filed under the name uncultured Anaerolineaceae bacterium. RNAcentral describes it as "bacterial SSU rRNA". It matches the Rfam family "Bacterial small subunit ribosomal RNA", at positions 917 to 1381 of the family's 1533-position model. Lineage: Bacteria; Bacillati; Chloroflexota; Anaerolineae; Anaerolineales; Anaerolineaceae. The record is from RNAcentral.